GGGUUGUGAGGUUAAGCGACUAAGCGUACACGGUGGAUGCCUAGGCAGUCAGAGGCGAUGAAGGGCGUGCUAAUCUGCGAAAAGCGUCGGCAAGGUGAUAUGAACCGUUAUACCCGACGAUACCCGAAUGGGGAAACCCAGUGUGAUUCGUCACACUAUCAUUAACUGAAUCCAUAGGUUAAUGAGGCGAACCGGGGGAACUGAAACAUCUCAGUACCCCGAGGAAAAGAAAUCAACCGAGAUUCCCCCAGUAGCGGCGAGCGAACGGGGAGGAGCCCAGAACCUGAAUCGGCUUGUGUGUCAGUGGAAGCGUCUGGAAAGGCGCACGAUACAGGGUGACAGUCCCGUACACGAAGAUGCACAGGUCGUGAGUUCGAUGAGUAGGGCGGGACACGUGGUAUCCUGUCUGAACAUGGGGGGACCAUCCUCCAAGGCUAAAUACUCCUGACUGACCGAUAGUGAACCAGUACCGUGAGGGAAAGGCGAAAAGAACCCCGGCGAGGGGAGUGAAAUAGAACCUGAAACCGUGUACGUACAAGCAGUGGGAGCACCUUUAGGGUGUGACUGCGUACCUUUUGUAUAAUGGGUCAGCGACUUAUAUUCUGUAGCAAGGUUAACCGAAUAGGGGAGCCGCAGGGAAACCGAGUCUUAACUGGGCGUCUAGUUGCAGGGUAUAGACCCGAAACCCGGUGAUCUAGCCAUGGGCAGGUUGAAGGUUGGGUAACACUAACUGGAGGACCGAACCGACUAAUGUUGAAAAAUUAGCGGAUGACUUGUGGCUGGGGGUGAAAGGCCAAUCAAACCGGGAGAUAGCUGGUUCUCCCCGAAAGCUAUUUAGGUAGCGCCUCGUGAACUCAUCUUCGGGGGUAGAGCACUGUUUCGGCUAGGGGGCCAUCCCGGCUUACCAACCCGAUGCAAACUGCGAAUACCGAAGAAUGUUAUCACGGGAGACACACGGCGGGUGCUAACGUCCGUCGUGAAGAGGGAAACAACCCAGACCGCCAGCUAAGGUCCCAAAGUCAUGGUUAAGUGGGAAACGAUGUGGGAAGGCCCAGACAGCCAGGAUGUUGGCUUAGAAGCAGCCAUCAUUUAAAGAAAGCGUAAUAGCUCACUGGUCGAGUCGGCCUGCGCGGAAGAUGUAACGGGGCUAAAACCAUGCACCGAAGCUGCGGCAGCGACGCUUAGGCGUUGUUGGGUAGGGGAGCGUUCUGUAAGCCUGUGAAGGUGGCCUGUGAGGGCUGCUGGAGGUAUCAGAAGUGCGAAUGCUGACAUAAGUAACGAUAAUGCGGGUGAAAAACCCGCACGCCGGAAGACCAAGGGUUCCUGUCCAACGUUAAUCGGGGCAGGGUGAGUCGACCCCUAAGGCGAGGCUGAAAAGCGUAGUCGAUGGGAAACAGGUUAAUAUUCCUGUACUUGGUGUUACUGCGAAGGGGGGACGGAGAAGGCUAUGUCAUCCGGGCGACGGUUGUCCCGGUUUAAGCGUGCAGGUGGGUGGACCAGGUAAAUCCGGUCUGCUGUCAACACUGAGGCGUGAUGACGAAGCACUACGGUGCUGAAGUGACAGAUGCCCUGCUUCCAGGAAAAGCCUCUAAGCAUCAGGUAACAUUGAAUCGUACCCCAAACCGACACAGGUGGUCAGGUAGAGAAUACUCAGGCGCUUGAGAGAACUCGGGUGAAGGAACUAGGCAAAAUGGUGCCGUAACUUCGGGAGAAGGCACGCUCCUGCUGGUGAAGUCCCUUGCGGAUGGAGCUGACGGGAGUCGCAGAUACCAGCUGGCUGCAACUGUUUAAUAAAAACACAGCACUGUGCAAACACGAAAGUGGACGUAUACGGUGUGACGCCUGCCCGGUGCCGGAAGGUUAAUUGAUGGGGUUAUCCGUAAGGAGAAGCUCUUGAUCGAAGCCCCGGUAAACGGCGGCCGUAACUAUAACGGUCCUAAGGUAGCGAAAUUCCUUGUCGGGUAAGUUCCGACCUGCACGAAUGGCGUAAUGAUGGCCAGGCUGUCUCCACCCGAGACUCAGUGAAAUUGAACUCGCUGUGAAGAUGCAGUGUACCCGCGGCAAGACGGAAAGACCCCGUGAACCUUUACUAUAGCUUGACACUGAACCUUGAGCCUUGAUGUGUAGGAUAGGUGGGAGGCUUUGAAGUGUGGACGCCAGUCUGCAUGGAGCCGACCUUGAAAUACCACCCUUUAAUGUUUGAUGUUCUAACCUGGGCCCGUAAUCCGGGCUGGGGACAGUGUCUGGUGGGUAGUUUGACUGGGGCGGUCUCCUCCCAAAGAGUAACGGAGGAGCACGAAGGUUAGCUAAUCCUGGUCGGACAUCAGGAGGUUAGUGCAAAGGCAUAAGCUAGCUUGACUGCGAGAGUGACGGCUCGAGCAGGUGCGAAAGCAGGUCUUAGUGAUCCGGUGGUUCUGAAUGGAAGGGCCAUCGCUCAACGGAUAAAAGGUACUCCGGGGAUAACAGGCUGAUACCGCCCAAGAGUUCAUAUCGACGGCGGUGUUUGGCACCUCGAUGUCGGCUCAUCACAUCCUGGGGCUGAAGUAGGUCCCAAGGGUAUGGCUGUUCGCCAUUUAAAGUGGUACGCGAGCUGGGUUUAGAACGUCGUGAGACAGUUCGGUCCCUAUCUGCCGUGGGCGUUGGAAGAUUGAGGGGGGUUGCUCCUAGUACGAGAGGACCGGAGUGAACGCACCGCUGGUGUUCGGGUUGUCAUGCCAAUGGCACUGCCCGGUAGCUACGUGCGGAAGAGAUAACCGCUGAAAGCAUCUAAGCGGGAAACUUGCCCCGAGAUGAGUCUUCCCUGGGCCCCUGAGGCCCCUGAAGGGACGUUCGAGACGAGGACGUUGAUAGGCUGGGUGUGUAAGCGUAGUGAUACGUUGAGCUAACCAGUACUAAUGACCCGAGAGGCUUAACCUUACAACACCGAAGGUGUUU
Molecule: ribosomal RNA, 2934 nt
Filed under: Dickeya oryzae
Lineage: Bacteria; Pseudomonadati; Pseudomonadota; Gammaproteobacteria; Enterobacterales; Pectobacteriaceae
Description: 23S ribosomal RNA
Rfam family: Bacterial large subunit ribosomal RNA
Source: RNAcentral